CAAGUCGAACGGUGAAGCCCAGCUUGCUGGGUGGAUCAGUGGCGAACGGGUGAGUAACACGUGAGUAACCUGCCCCUGACUCUGGGAUAAGCCUUGGAAACGAGGUCUAAUACCGGAUACGAGACGCUCGGGCAUCCGAAGUGUCUGGAAAGAUUUAUCGGUCAGGGAUGGACUCGCGGCCUAUCAGCUUGUUGGUGGGGUAGUGGCCCACCAAGGCGACGACGGGUAGCCGGCCUGAGAGGGCGACCGGCCACACUGGGACUGAGACACGGCCCAGACUCCUACGGGAGGCAGCAGUGGGGAAUAUUGCACAAUGGGCGCAAGCCUGAUGCAGCGACGCCGCGUGAGGGAUGAAGGCCUUCGGGUUGUAAACCUCUUUCAGCAGGGAAGAAGCGCAAGUGACGGUACCUGCAGAAGAAGCGCCGGCUAACUACGUGCCAGCAGCCGCGGUAAUACGUAGGGCGCAAGCGUUGUCCGGAAUUAUUGGGCGUAAAGAGCUCGUAGGCGGUUUGUCGCGUCUGCUGUGAAAACUCGAGGCUCAACCUCGGGCUUGCAGUGGGUACGGGCAGACUAGAGUGCGGUAGGGGUGACUGGAAUUCCUGGUGUAGCGGUGGAAUGCGCAGAUAUCAGGAGGAACACCGAUGGCGAAGGCAGGUCACUGGGCCGCAACUGACGCUGAGGAGCGAAAGCAUGGGGAGCGAACAGGAUUAGAUACCCUGGUAGUCCAUGCCGUAAACGUUGGGCACUAGGUGUGGGGCUCAUUCCACGAGUUCCGUGCCGCAGCAAACGCAUUAAGUGCCCCGCCUGGGGAGUACGGCCGCAAGGCUAAAACUCAAAGAAAUUGACGGGGGCCCGCACAAGCGGCGGAGCAUGCGGAUUAAUUCGAUGCAACGCGAAGAACCUUACCAAGGCUUGACAUACACCGGAAACUUCCAGAGAUGGUUGCCCCGCAAGGUCGGUGUACAGGUGGUGCAUGGUUGUCGUCAGCUCGUGUCGUGAGAUGUUGGGUUAAGUCCCGCACGAGCGCAACCCUCGUCCUAUGUUGCCAGCGGAUCAUGCC
This 1060-nucleotide ribosomal RNA is filed under the name Cellulomonas sp. RNAcentral's name for it is "bacterial SSU rRNA". It matches the Rfam family "Bacterial small subunit ribosomal RNA", at positions 58 to 1132 of the family's 1533-position model. Lineage: Bacteria; Bacillati; Actinomycetota; Actinomycetes; Micrococcales; Cellulomonadaceae. The record is from RNAcentral.